CCUACGGGUGGCAGCAGUGGGGAAUAUUGCACAAUGGGGGGAACCUUGAUGCAGCAAAGCCGCGUGGGUGAAGAAGUACUCCGGUAUGUAAAGCCCUGUCAGCAGGGAAGAAAAUGACGGUACCUGUCCCAGAAGCCGCGGCUAAAUACGUGCCAGCAGCCGCGGUAAUACGGAGGGGGCAAGCGUUAUCCGGAUUUACUGGGUGUAAAGGGAGUGUAGACGGGAAGGCAAGUCUGGAGUGAAAGCCCGUGGCCCAACCACGGGACUGCCUUGGAAACUGGGUUGCUGGAGUGCAGGAGGGGUAAGCGGAAUGCCUGGUGUAGCGGUGAAAUGCGUAGAGAUUAGGAGGAACACCGGUGGCGAAGGCGGCUUACUGGA
Molecule: ribosomal RNA, 378 nt
Filed under: uncultured bacterium
Lineage: Bacteria
Description: partial 16S ribosomal RNA
Rfam family: Bacterial small subunit ribosomal RNA
Source: RNAcentral